AACGAACGCUGGCGGCAUGCCUAACACAUGCAAGUCGAACGAGAUCUUCGGGUCUAGUGGCGCACGGGUGCGUAACGCGUGGGAAUCUGCCCUUUGGUUCGGAAUAACAGUUGGAAACGACUGCUAAUACCGGAUGAUGACGAAAGUCCAAAGAUUUAUCGCCAGAGGAUGAGCCCGCGUAGGAUUAGCUAGUUGGUGUGGUAAAGGCGCACCAAGGAGACGAUCCUUAGCUGGUCUGAGAGGAUGAUCAGCCACACUGGGACUGAGACACGGCCCAGACUCCUACGGGAGGCAGCAGUGGGGAAGAUUGGACAAUGGGCGAAAGCCUGAUCCAGCAAUGCCGCGUGAGUGAUGAAGGCCUUAGGGUUGUAAAGCUCUUUUACCCGGGAUGAUAAUGACAGUACCGGGAGAAUAAGCUCCGGCUAACUCCGUGCCAGCAGCCGCCGUAC
RNAcentral lists this ribosomal RNA (449 nucleotides) under uncultured bacterium. RNAcentral's name for it is "partial 16S ribosomal RNA". It matches the Rfam family "Bacterial small subunit ribosomal RNA", at positions 29 to 523 of the family's 1533-position model. The record is from RNAcentral.